UUUAUGCGUUGUUGGGUAGGGGAGCGUUCUGUAAGCCUGCGAAGGUGGCCUGUGAGGGUUGCUGGAGGUAUCAGAAGUGCGAAUGCUGACAUAAGUAACGAUAAAGCGGGUGAAAAGCCCGCUCGCCGGAAGACCAAGGGUUCCUGUCCAACGUUAAUCGGGGCAGGGUGAGUCGACCCCUAAGGCGAGGCCGAAAGGCGUAGUCGAUGGGAAACAGGUUAAUAUUCCUGUACUUGGUGUUACUGCGAAGGGGGGACGGAGAAGGCUAUGUUGGCCGGGCGACGGUUGUCCCGGUUUAAGCGUGUAGGUGUGUGUUCCAGGUAAAUCCGGUUCACUUUAACACUGAGGCGUGACGACGAGGCACUACGGUGCUGAAGCAACAAAUGCCCUGCUUCCAGGAAAAGCCUCUAAGCAUCAGGUAACAUCAAAUCGUACCCCAAACCGACACAGGUGGUCAGGUAGAGAAUACCAAGGCGCUUGAGAGAACUCGGGUGAAGGAACUAGGCAAAAUGGUGCCGUAACUUCGGGAGAAGGCACGCUGACACGUAGGUGAAGUGAUUUACUCACGGAGCUGAAGUCAGUCGAAGAUACCAGCUGGCUGCAACUGUUUAUUAAAAACACAGCACUGUGCAAACACGAAAGUGGACGUAUACGGUGUGACGCCUGCCCGGUGCCGGAAGGUUAAUUGAUGGGGUCAGCGCAAGCGAAGCUCCUGAUCGAAGCCCCGGUAAACGGCGGCCGUAACUAUAACGGUCCUAAGGUAGCGAAAUUCCUUGUCGGGUAAGUUCCGACCUGCACGAAUGGCGUAAUGAUGGCCAGGCUGUCUCCACCCGAGACUCAGUGAAAUUGAACUCGCUGUGAAGAUGCAGUGUACCCGCGGCAAGACGGAAAGACCCCGUGAACCUUUACUAUAGCUUGACACUGAACAUUGAGCCUUGAUGUGUAGGAUAGGUGGGAGGCUUUGAAGUGUGGACGCCAGUCUGCAUGGAGCCGACCUUGAAAUACCACCCUUUAAUGUUUGAUGUUCUAACGUGGACCCGUUACCCGGGUUGCGGACAGUGUCUGGUGGGUAGUUUGACUGGGGCGGUCUCCUCCUAAAGAGUAACGGAGGAGCACGAAGGUUGGCUAAUCCUGGUCGGACAUCAGGAGGUUAGUGCAAUGGCAUAAGCCAGCUUGACUGCGAGCGUGACGGCGCGAGCAGGUGCGAAAGCAGGUCAUAGUGAUCCGGUGGUUCUGAAUGGAAGGGCCAUCGCUCAACGGAUAAAAGGUACUCCGGGGAUAACAGGCUGAUACCGCCCAAGAGUUCAUAUCGACGGCGGUGUUUGGCACCUCGAUGUCGGCUCAUCACAUCCUGGGGCUGAAGUAGGUCCCAAGGGUAUGGCUGUUCGCCAUUUAAAGUGGUACGCGAGCUGGGUUUAGAACGUCGUGAGACAGUUCGGUCCCUAUCUGCCGUGGGCGCUGGAGAACUGAGGGGGGCUGCUCCUAGUACGAGAGGACCGGAGUGGACGCAUCACUGGUGUUCGGGUUGUCAUGCCAAUGGCACUGCCCGGUAGCUAAAUGCGGAAGAGAUAAGUGCUGAAAGCAUCUAAGCACGAAACUUGCCCCGA
RNAcentral lists this ribosomal RNA (1607 nucleotides) under Salmonella enterica. RNAcentral's name for it is "partial 23S ribosomal RNA". It matches the Rfam family "Bacterial large subunit ribosomal RNA", at positions 1213 to 2802 of the family's 2925-position model. The record is from RNAcentral. Lineage: Bacteria; Pseudomonadati; Pseudomonadota; Gammaproteobacteria; Enterobacterales; Enterobacteriaceae.